UCAUGUCUAAAAAAAUAAGCUGGACAGUAUAAAUAACAAUUUAAAAUCUAAAGAUCUUGGCGGUGCUUCAUCUAACCAGGGGAACCUGUUCCUUAAUUCGAUAAUCCACGAAACUCAGACCACUAAUAGAAUAAUCAGCCUGUGUACUGCCGUCAUAAGCAUAUCUCUAAGAGACACUAUGCAAAAAUAAUAAAAUUUAUUUAUGUCAGGUCAAAGUACAGCCAAUGUAGUGGAGGAAAUGGGUUACACCCAUAAAAUAGAUACCAAAAUAAAAACUAACGUUUUAUAUAAAGGUGGACUUGGGAGUAAUGACUAGAUAGAAUAUAAUCAUGAAAAAGAAUCUGAAGCAUGCACACAUCGCCCGUCACUCCCUUCUAAAGAAG
RNAcentral lists this ribosomal RNA (383 nucleotides) under Rhyacodrilus coccineus. RNAcentral's name for it is "partial 12S ribosomal RNA". It matches the Rfam family "Microsporidia small subunit ribosomal RNA", at positions 752 to 1217 of the family's 1311-position model. Lineage: Eukaryota; Metazoa; Annelida; Clitellata; Tubificida; Naididae. The record is from RNAcentral.